UAAGUCAUAGGUGAUGGAGUUCGCCUUUAAAUGCUUGAAUGCUGAUGACUCCUACAGGUCU
This 61-nucleotide non-coding RNA is filed under the name Clostridium pasteurianum. RNAcentral's name for it is "Fluoride sequence". It matches the Rfam family "Fluoride riboswitch aptamer (crcB RNA motif)". Lineage: Bacteria; Bacillati; Bacillota; Clostridia; Eubacteriales; Clostridiaceae. RNAcentral also lists the same sequence under 1 other name. The record is from RNAcentral.